ACGUUAGCGGCGGACGGGUGAGUAACACGUGGGUAACCUACCUAUAAGACUGGGAUAACUUCGGGAAACCGGAGCUAAUACCGGAUAAUAUUUCGAACCGCAUGGUUCGAUAGUGAAAGGUGGUUUUGCUAUCACUUAUAGAUGGACCCGCGCCGUAUUAGCUAGUUGGUAAGGUAACGGCUUACCAAGGCGACGAUACGUAGCCGACCUGAGAGAGUGAUCGGCCACACUGGAACUGAGACACGGUCCAGACUCCUACGGGAGGCAGCAGGG
RNAcentral lists this ribosomal RNA (273 nucleotides) under uncultured Staphylococcus sp. RNAcentral's name for it is "partial 16S ribosomal RNA". It matches the Rfam family "Bacterial small subunit ribosomal RNA", at positions 89 to 354 of the family's 1533-position model. The record is from RNAcentral. Lineage: Bacteria; Bacillati; Bacillota; Bacilli; Caryophanales; Staphylococcaceae.